This is a non-coding RNA of Arachis ipaensis, 431 nucleotides long. The record is from RefSeq and is a predicted model, not a curated record. Lineage: Eukaryota; Viridiplantae; Streptophyta; Magnoliopsida; Fabales; Fabaceae.
CUACUUUUGCUUCUUGACAUUGCAGAAAAAACAGAAUAUGUUUAUGCUCGUGUGAAGCUUUCAAGAUAUUCUUUAGAGGUUCUGUCUGAAGAUUUGCCUGCUACUAUUUCUAAAAUAUCAUUUCCAAAGACGAUGAAAUGGAAUUCCCAGGUAUGUGGGAUUUGAGGCAGAUGAAGAACCAGAAAUCUCCCAAAUACGAUCUUCCGUUGAACAAGAUAUUUAAAGAACAAGAUUUUUUUCUCUUCUAUCAGAAGGUUAAUAAUUUUUAUUAGAAGAUACUUAUGUAGGAUACAAUAUUUUGGUUUUUUAUAGUUUAUUAGUAGUAAAUUCUAAGUGGUCUAAUGUAUAUUUUGAUAUGGGUAUGUUUAAUUUAGUGUGAGAUGUAUGAAUACUCAUUUAUGAUCAUCCCAAUAUUUUUAGUUCAUUAUAAA